This 439-nucleotide long non-coding RNA is filed under the name Homo sapiens (human). RNAcentral describes it as "non-protein coding lnc-PCDH18-9:1". The record is from RNAcentral. Lineage: Eukaryota; Metazoa; Chordata; Mammalia; Primates; Hominidae.
GCUUCUUUUGAUAUCCAGGUGAAAGAACUGGAGAAGGGUGCUUCAGGCCAGGCUUUUGAACUAAUUCUCAGCCCUCAGUCAAAGGAAUCAAUUCUAUAAUUCCCUUUCCCCUCUCCACAGAAGAAGGAAAAUUUCCUUAGAGGAAACUCAGAAGAUAUGAGAAGCUGCAAAAGAAAGGCACAAGUCCUACUAAGCUGAGAUCUUGAAGCAGCUUGCAAAGGAUGGAGAAAUAAGUGGUUUAGAAAGCAAUAGAAGAGAAUACUAACUUCAGCAAAAUGGCAAAAAGAACCUCACCCACAAAAUGAAAGCUAAUGAAGAGAAUAGAGAGGCACAAAUGGCUGUCAAACUGGAGUGUUUGCCAGAGAAGGAUAAGCACACUGAACAGGUGCAGAAGAACAAAGAAUCCAGAGGUCCUGUUGAUGAGACUGAAGCUGACUAA